Molecule: ribosomal RNA, 448 nt
Filed under: uncultured bacterium
Lineage: Bacteria
Description: SSU rRNA
Rfam family: Bacterial small subunit ribosomal RNA
Source: RNAcentral
AGAACGAACGCUGGCGGCAGGCUUAACACAUGCAAGUCGAACGCGUGUAGCAAUACACGAGUGGCGCACGGGUGAGUAACGCGUGGAUAUCUGCCUUUUGGUUCGGAAUAACCCCGGGAAACUGGGGCUAAUACCGGAUGGUUCCUACGGGAUAAAGAUUUAUCGCCAAAAGAUGAGUCCGCGUCCGAUUAGCUAGUUGGUGGGGUAAUGGCCUACCAAGGCGACGAUCGGUAGCUGGUCUGAGAGGACGAUCAGCCACACUGGGACUGAGACACGGCCCAGACUCCUACGGGAGGCAGCAGUGGGGAAUAUUGGACAAUGGGGGCAACCCUGAUCCAGCCAUGCCGCGUGAGUGAUGAAGGCCUUCGGGUUGUAAAGCUCUUUUGGCGGGGACGAUGAUGACGGUACCCGCAGAAUAAGCCCCGGCUAACUUCGCGCCAGCAGCCGC